This 495-nucleotide ribosomal RNA is filed under the name uncultured bacterium. RNAcentral describes it as "partial 16S ribosomal RNA". It matches the Rfam family "Bacterial small subunit ribosomal RNA", at positions 28 to 507 of the family's 1533-position model. The record is from RNAcentral.
GACGAACGCUGGCGGCGUGCCUAAUACAUGCAAGUAGAACGCUGAAGGAGGAGCUUGCUUCUCUGGAUGAGUUGCGAACGGGUGAGUAACGCGUAGGUAACCUGCCUGGUAGCGGGGGAUAACUAUUGGAAACGAUAGCUAAUACCGCAUAAGAGUAGAUGUCGCAUGACAUUUGCUUAAAAGGUGCAAUUGCAUCACUACCAGAUGGACCUGCGUUGUAUUAGCUAGUUGGUGAGGUAACGGCUCACCAAGGCAACGAUACAUAGCCGACCUGAGAGGGUGAUCGGCCACACUGGGAAUGAGACAAGGCCCAGACUCCUACGGGAGGCAGCAGUAGGGAAUCUUCGGCAAUGGACGGAAGUCUGACCGAGCAACGCCGCGUGAGUGAAGAAGGUUUUCGGAUCGUAAAGCUCUGUUGUAAGAGAAGAACGAGUGUGAGAGUGGAAAGUUCACACUGUGACGGUAUCUUACCAGAAAGGGACGGCUAACUACGUG